Molecule: long non-coding RNA, 508 nt
Filed under: Vigna radiata
Lineage: Eukaryota; Viridiplantae; Streptophyta; Magnoliopsida; Fabales; Fabaceae
Description: long non-coding RNA (VRAD_LNC006174)
Source: RNAcentral
AAAAAACUAAAUUCAGCCAAAAUGAAGUGAACAUUAGCUUUCAUUCAUAACUCACAAGCACGUUCUUCAAGAAGGAACAUCACCAUUUGCUAUUGCAUAGGCUGCACCGUAACAUUCAAAGACAAGCUUCCAAAACUAAAGAAACGUUCCAGCUUUGUAAAAUAAAAAGGAAAAAAUUGUUCUUCUUCAUUCAACCAAAAUCAAACAAUGCUAUUGGAAGCUCCAUGAAAGAAAAACACGUUCCAGAAAAGUGUCUUUUUUCUAAUGACGGCUGCUAGCUCUCCCCCAAGGCCAUGAGUUUUUUUGUCAUAAAUUAGGGUGGGGUCCACCCUACCCUAGGUGCCAAGUGUCAAUUUUUUACUAUUGGACUCAACAACAAAUUCCAAAAAUUGGCCCACAAUGAAAAAGUUUGUCUAAAAAUUCUAAACUACUAAAUUAAAAUACAACUAAUUCUAAAAUGCUUAUGGGAGAGUCUUGAUUUAUUUUGUCCCCCUUCCCAAUGCUCCAA